RNAcentral lists this transfer RNA (87 nucleotides) under Actinobacteria bacterium ADurb.Bin346. RNAcentral's name for it is "tRNA-Ser". It matches the Rfam family "tRNA". Rfam says of the family: Transfer RNA (tRNA) molecules are approximately 80 nucleotides in length. Lineage: Bacteria; Bacillati; Actinomycetota. The record is from RNAcentral.
GGGCGAAUGGCGGAACUGGCAGACGCGCUAGGUUCAGGACCUAGUGUUCGCAAGGACUUGGGGGUUCAAGUCCCCCUUCGCCCACCA